GUGGGGAAUAUUGGACAAUGGGCGCAAGCCUGAUCCAGCCAUGCCGCGUGAGUGAUGAAGGCCUUAGGGUUGUAAAGCUCUUUCAGUGGGGACGAUAAUGACGGUACCCACAGAAGAAGCCCCGGCUAACUUCGUGCCAGCAGCCGCGGUAAUACGAAGGGGGCUAGCGUUGUUCGGAAUUACUGGGCGUAAAGCGCACGUAGGCGGGUAUUUAAGUCAGGGGUGAAAUCCCGGAGCUCAACUCCGGAACUGCCUUUGAUACUGGGUACCUAGAGUAUGGAAGAGGUAAGUGGAAUUCCGAGUGUAGAGGUGAAAUUCGUAGAUAUUCGGAGGAACACCAGUGGCGAAGGCGGCUUACUGGUCCAUUACUGACGCUGAGGUGCGAAAGCGUGGGGAGCAAACAGGAUUAGAAACCCGUGUAGUCC
RNAcentral lists this ribosomal RNA (425 nucleotides) under uncultured bacterium. RNAcentral describes it as "bacterial SSU rRNA". It matches the Rfam family "Bacterial small subunit ribosomal RNA", at positions 354 to 796 of the family's 1533-position model. The record is from RNAcentral.